CCUACGGGGGGCAGCAGUGAGGAAUAUUGGUCAAUGGACGAGAGUCUGAACCAGCCAAGUAGCGUGAAGGAUGACUGCCCUAUGGGUUGUAAACUUCUUUUAUAUGGGAAUAAAAUGUUCCACGUGUGGGAUUUUGUAUGUACCAUAUGAAUAAGGAUCGGCUAACUCCGUGCCAGCAGCCGCGGUAAUACGGAGGAUCCGAGCGUUAUCCGGAUUUAUUGGGUUUAAAGGGAGCGUAGGUGGAUUGUUAAGUCAGUUGUGAAAGUUUGCGGCUCAACCGUAGAAUUGCAGUUGAAACUGGCAGUCUUGAGUGCAGGAGAGGUGUGCGGAAUUCGUGGUGUAGCGGUGAAAUGCUUAGAUAUCACGAAGAACUCCGAUUGCGAAGGCAGUUCACUGGACUGCAACUGACACUGAGGCUCGAAAGUGUGGGUAUCAAACAGGAUUAGAUACCCGAGUAGUC
RNAcentral lists this ribosomal RNA (460 nucleotides) under uncultured bacterium. RNAcentral's name for it is "partial 16S ribosomal RNA". It matches the Rfam family "Bacterial small subunit ribosomal RNA", at positions 338 to 795 of the family's 1533-position model. The record is from RNAcentral.